Molecule: long non-coding RNA, 585 nt
Organism: Hydra vulgaris (swiftwater hydra)
Lineage: Eukaryota; Metazoa; Cnidaria; Hydrozoa; Anthoathecata; Hydridae
Source: RefSeq, a predicted model, not a curated record
UGCACAAAAACAAACUUAAUAAAAAAAAAUUAAUAUAUAAUUUAAAUUUAAAAACUUAAAAAGUUUUAUUAAAAAAAUGUGUUUCUUGAUAAUAAACUUCAGUUGAUUAUGUUAGUUACUUUUUUUUAAAGUUAUUUCAUUUUCUAAAUGUGCUUUUUUUAUUAUAAAAAGUAAAGUAUAUUAUCUGUAUUGUAAUGGUGUUUAUGACAUUUAUAUUUAUAUUAGUUUCUUUAUUGUAUGUAAAAUGCCAAAAACUAGUUUUGUCAUUUGAGACAUUUGGGAAAAAAACUCUACAGACACAAGAUGAGUAUAACAAAGGAUCAAUACAAGGUCCAUCAGCAAAAAAAAUAAGAGUGAGUCAGUUGUUUGCUUGAUUGCAAAACAAAUAGGGUUCAUAACUAAUGCUGCUAGCAACAUAAUAAAAAUAAUGACACUUUUAAAGCAUAUAACUUAUACUAAUUUUUGUUACAAUCAUAGGUUUAAUACUUGUUUAAAUAGAGCAUUAAAAACAAAGGAAAAAAAUUUCUUUGAAUGAAAUUCAAGAUGCUCUUGACAUCUGCAUAAAAUUAUCUUUUCAUUCAUCAA